AGACAGAGGUGGCAAGCGUUGUUCGGAUUUACUGGGCUUAAAGGGCGUGUAGGCGUCCUGGUAAGUCAGAUGUGGAAGCCUUGGGCUCAACCCAAGAAUUGCAUUUGAUACUGCCGGGAUUGAGUCGUGCAUGGGAGGGCGGAAUUCCUGGUGUAGCGGUGAAAUGCGUAGAUAUCAGGAGGAAGGCCGGUGGCGAAGGUGGCCCUCUGGGCAAUGACUGACGCUGAGGCGCGAAAGCGUGGGGAGCAACCAGGAUUAGAAACCCUAGUAGUCC
Molecule: ribosomal RNA, 274 nt
Filed under: uncultured bacterium
Lineage: Bacteria
Description: partial 16S ribosomal RNA
Rfam family: Bacterial small subunit ribosomal RNA
Source: RNAcentral